GUUCUCAUAGUUGAAUUACAACGGUGGUUUUUCAAGCCGUUGGUCCUAGUUAAAGUCUUGGUGGGAACC
RNAcentral lists this transfer RNA (69 nucleotides) under Joturus pichardi (bobo mullet). RNAcentral's name for it is "tRNA-Glu". It matches the Rfam family "tRNA". From Rfam's summary of the family: Transfer RNA (tRNA) molecules are approximately 80 nucleotides in length. Their secondary structure includes four short double-helical elements and three loops (D, anti-codon, and T loops). The record is from RNAcentral. Lineage: Eukaryota; Metazoa; Chordata; Actinopteri; Mugiliformes; Mugilidae.